This 389-nucleotide ribosomal RNA is filed under the name uncultured bacterium. RNAcentral's name for it is "bacterial SSU rRNA". It matches the Rfam family "Bacterial small subunit ribosomal RNA", at positions 30 to 421 of the family's 1533-position model. The record is from RNAcentral.
AUUGAACGCUGGCGGUAGGCCUAACACAUGCAAGUCGAACGCGAAAGUCCUUCGGAUGAGUAGAGUGGCGGACGGGUGGAGUAACGCGUAGGAAUCUAUCCUGUAGUGGGGGAUAACGUUUCGAAAGGAACGCUAAUACCGCAUACGCCCCAAGGGGGAAAGCGGGGGAUCUUCGGACCUCGUGCUAUAGGAGGAGCCUGCGUCGGAUUAGCUAGUUGGUGAGGUAAAGGCUCACCAAGGCGACGAUCCGUAGCUGGUCUGAGAGGAUGAUCAGCCACACCGGAACUGAGACACGGUCCGGACUCCUACGGGAGGCAGCAGUGGGGAAUAUUGCGCAAUGGGCGAAAGCCUGACGCAGCCAUUACCGCGUGUGUGAAGAAGGCCCUUGG